Molecule: ribosomal RNA, 500 nt
Filed under: uncultured bacterium
Lineage: Bacteria
Description: partial 16S ribosomal RNA
Rfam family: Bacterial small subunit ribosomal RNA
Source: RNAcentral
AUUGAACGCUGGCGGCAUGCCUUACACAUGCAAGUCGAACGGCAGCGCGGACUUCGGUCUGGCGGCGAGUGGCGAACGGGUGAGUAAUACAUCGGAACGUACCCGGUUGUGGGGGAUAACUAGUCGAAAGAUUAGCUAAUACCGCAUACGACCUGAGGGUGAAAGGGGGGGACCGCAAGGCCUCACGCAGCAGGAGCGGCCGAUGUCUGAUUAGCUAGUCGGUGGGGUAAAGGCCCACCAAGGCGACGAUCAGUAGCUGGUCUGAGAGGACGAUCAGCCACACUGGGACUGAGACACGGCCCAGACUCCUACGGGAGGCAGCAGUGGGGAAUUUUGGACAAUGGGGGCAACCCUGAUCCAGCAAUGCCGCGUGUGUGAAGAAGGCCUUCGGGUUGUAAAGCACUUUUGUCCGGAAAGAAAUCGCGCUGGUUAAUACCUGGCGUGGAUGACGGUACCGGAAGAAUAAGCACCGGCUAACUACGUGCCAGCCGCCGCCGUAA